UACCCUUCUGAUGUUGCAUAUUUAGCAUCU
Molecule: non-coding RNA, 30 nt
Filed under: Rattus norvegicus (Norway rat)
Lineage: Eukaryota; Metazoa; Chordata; Mammalia; Rodentia; Muridae
Source: RNAcentral